RNAcentral lists this small RNA (270 nucleotides) under Nomascus leucogenys (northern white-cheeked gibbon). RNAcentral's name for it is "Metazoan signal recognition particle RNA (ENSNLEG00000033047.1)". Lineage: Eukaryota; Metazoa; Chordata; Mammalia; Primates; Hylobatidae. The record is from RNAcentral.
GCCGGGUGUGGUGGCUCCCACCUGUAAUCCCAGCACUUUGGGAGGCCGAGGUGGGCGGAUCAUUUGAGGUCAGGAGUUCUGGAUCAGCCUGGCCAACAGGCUCUACUAAAAAUACAAAAAUUAGCUGGGCAUGGUGGCACGUGCCUGUAGUCCCAGCUACUCUGGAGGCUGAGGCAUAAGAAUCACCUGAACCCAGGAGGUGGAGGUUGCAGUAAGCCGACAUGACACCACUGUACUCCAGCCUAGGCAACAGAGUGAGACUCCAUCUCA